UGUAGGGGUGCAUGUAGGCACGGUCCUUGUGAUGCGGUACGUGAUGGUGUGUGAGUGGUAUUUGGUUUGUGUGGUUGGCGGGCUCUUUGCUUGUGCAUUGGACCGUUCACCAACAUACCUUUUCAUUGUAUGCUGCAAGUGCACCAUUUUGCCUUGGGCGACGUGUGGUCCCUAUGUUGGAUUCCGAUUAACGGUAUUGUUGUUGUCCCUUUAAAGAGUGAUAUUCGCUCCACGUCCGUAAAAGGAGGUCGAGCGGACCAUGAAACUUGACUCGUUAUCCUCCUGUUUUGUGAAAACAAGCAUGAUAGGGUUGGAUUAUGAUCUCAAGUUGGGCCCUAGGAUACAGAAAGUUGUGUGGGAGUUGAUGUAAAAACGUCGCAAACCCAAAGCGUUGGUACGCUAAUGAUGGAUGACAUUCGAGUGUGUUGUGAUUCUUUCAUUCUAGAAAGGUUCAUGCUCGCCGAUGUCGACCAAGGAGUGCUACCUGGUUGAUCCUG
RNAcentral lists this unclassified non-coding RNA (497 nucleotides) under Salicornia aff. depressa Ford 88147. Its description in RNAcentral is "partial external transcribed spacer". Lineage: Eukaryota; Viridiplantae; Streptophyta; Magnoliopsida; Caryophyllales; Amaranthaceae. The record is from RNAcentral. RNAcentral also lists the same sequence under 1 other name.